GAUGAACGCUGGCGGCGUGCCUAAUACAUGCAAGUCGAGCGAACGGACGAGAAGCUUGCUUUUCUGAUGUUAGCGGCGGACGGGUGAGUAACACGUGGAUAACCUACCUAUAAGACUGGGAUAACUCCGGGAAACCGGAGCUAAUACCGGAUAAUAUUUUGAACCGCAUGGUUCAAAAGUGAAAGACGGUCUUGCUGUCACUUAUAGAUAGAUCCGCGCUGCAUUAGCUAGUUGGUAAGGUAACGGCCUACCAAGGCAACGAUGCAUAGCCGACCUGAGAGGGUGAUCGGCCACACUGGAACUGAGACACGGUCCAGACUCCUACGGGAGGCAGCAGUAGGGAAUCUUCCGCAAUGGGCGAAAGCCUGACGGAGCAACGCCGCGUGAGUGAUGAAGGUCUUCGGAUCGUAAAACUCUGUUAUUAGGGAAGAACAUAUGUGUAAGUAACUGUGCACAUCUUGACGGUACCUAAUCAGAAAGCCACGGCUAACUACGUG
RNAcentral lists this ribosomal RNA (497 nucleotides) under uncultured bacterium. RNAcentral's name for it is "partial 16S ribosomal RNA". It matches the Rfam family "Bacterial small subunit ribosomal RNA", at positions 28 to 507 of the family's 1533-position model. The record is from RNAcentral.